This 460-nucleotide ribosomal RNA is filed under the name uncultured bacterium. RNAcentral's name for it is "partial 16S ribosomal RNA". It matches the Rfam family "Bacterial small subunit ribosomal RNA", at positions 338 to 795 of the family's 1533-position model. The record is from RNAcentral.
CCUACGGGAGGCAGCAGUGAGGAAUAUUGGUCAAUGGACGAGAGUCUGAACCAGCCAAGUAGCGUGAAGGAUGACUGCCCUAUGGGUUGUACACUUCUUUUAUAUGGGAAUAAAAUGUUCCACGUGUGGGUUUUUGUAUGUACCAUAUGAAUAAGGAUCGGCUAACUCCGUGCCAGCAGCCGCGGUAAUACGGAGGAUCCGAGCGUUAUCCGGAUUUAUUGGGUUUAAAGGGAGCGUAGGUGGAUUGUUAAGUCAGUUGUGAAAGUUUGCGGCUCAACCGUAAAAUUGCAGUUGAAACUGGCAGUCUUGAGUACAGUAGAGGUGGGCGGAAUUCGUGGUGUAGCGGUGAAAUGCUUAGAUAUCACGAAGAACUCCGAUUGCGAAGGCAGCUUACUGGACUGCAACUGACACUGAGGCGCGAAAGUGUGGGUAUCAAACAGGAUUAGAUACCCUAGUAGUC